UAAGGCAGCUAGCACUUUGCAGCUUUCACAUGAUUGCCCACUGAAGCUAGGCAGGGUUGUGCCUGGUUAGUACCCGGAUGAAAGGCUACAUGGGAAAAUUAGGUUGCUGCUGAAA
RNAcentral lists this ribosomal RNA (115 nucleotides) under Danio rerio (zebrafish). The record is from RNAcentral. Lineage: Eukaryota; Metazoa; Chordata; Actinopteri; Cypriniformes; Danionidae.